CCCCAUGAUUCAGUUACCUCCCACUGAGUCCCUCCCACAACACAUGGUGGUUAUGGGAGCUACAAUUCAAGGUGAGACUUGGGUGGAGACACAGCCAAACCAUAUCAGAUGCGUAACUGGUAUAUGAGCUAUAUAAUGAAGAAAUAAUAUAAAAGAUCAAGAGAAUGAUUACCUAUUGGAAGAGAUGAGGAGAGUUGGAAACUGAACAAAGAUAAAAUGUGGAAUUUUCAUGUCAGUCUGUGAACAAAGAACAGGACUCAACAGAUGGUGCCUGCACUUCC
RNAcentral lists this long non-coding RNA (281 nucleotides) under Homo sapiens (human). RNAcentral's name for it is "HSALNT0070063". Lineage: Eukaryota; Metazoa; Chordata; Mammalia; Primates; Hominidae. The record is from RNAcentral.